RNAcentral lists this transfer RNA (62 nucleotides) under Tetranychus phaselus. Its description in RNAcentral is "tRNA-Lys". The record is from RNAcentral. Lineage: Eukaryota; Metazoa; Arthropoda; Arachnida; Trombidiformes; Tetranychidae.
AUCAAAUGGCUGAAUUAAAGCGGUAACUUCUUAAGUUAUUUAUAGAUUAAAUCUUUUGAUGA